GGGUACGUAGUUCAGUGGUAGAACGCCGUCCUGAUAAGACGGAGGUCGUAGGUUCGAUCCCUACCGUACCCA
This 72-nucleotide transfer RNA is filed under the name Pseudomonadota bacterium. Its description in RNAcentral is "tRNA-Ile". It matches the Rfam family "tRNA". From Rfam's summary of the family: Transfer RNA (tRNA) molecules are approximately 80 nucleotides in length. Their secondary structure includes four short double-helical elements and three loops (D, anti-codon, and T loops). Lineage: Bacteria; Pseudomonadati; Pseudomonadota. The record is from RNAcentral. RNAcentral also lists the same sequence under 1 other name.